RNAcentral lists this ribosomal RNA (303 nucleotides) under uncultured bacterium. Its description in RNAcentral is "bacterial SSU rRNA". It matches the Rfam family "Bacterial small subunit ribosomal RNA", at positions 355 to 674 of the family's 1533-position model. The record is from RNAcentral.
UGGGGAAUAUUGCACAAUGGGGGAAACCCUGAUGCAGCGACGCCGCGUGGGCGACGAAGCGCUCCGGCGCGUAAAGCCCUGUCAGCAGGGAAGAAAAAAGACAGUACCUGACCAAGAAGCCCCGGCUAACUACGUGCCAGCAGCCGCGGUAAUACGUAGGGGGCAAGCGUUAUCCGGAUUCACUGGGCGUAAAGGGAGCGCAGGCGGCACGGCAAGUCUGGUGUGAAAGCCCGGGGCCCAACCCCGGGACUGCAUUGGAAACUGCCGGGCUGGAGUGCCGGAGGGGUAAGCGGAAUUCCUGGU